RNAcentral lists this unclassified non-coding RNA (67 nucleotides) under Desulfococcus multivorans DSM 2059. The record is from RNAcentral. Lineage: Bacteria; Pseudomonadati; Thermodesulfobacteriota; Desulfobacteria; Desulfobacterales; Desulfococcaceae.
AAAAGCCGGAUGCGGGAAAUCGGCACGUCCGGUUUGACGAGGGGCAGGGGUGCACUCCCUGUUCCAC